This 1450-nucleotide ribosomal RNA is filed under the name uncultured organism. RNAcentral's name for it is "SSU rRNA". It matches the Rfam family "Bacterial small subunit ribosomal RNA". The record is from RNAcentral.
AACGCUAGCUACAGGCUUAACACAUGCAAGUCGAGGGGCAGCAUGGUCUUAGCUUGCUAAGGCCGAUGGCGACCGGCGCACGGGUGAGUAACGCGUAUCCAACCUGCCUUACACUCUUGGACAGCCUUCUGAAAGGGAGAUUAAUACAAGAUGUUAUCAUGAGUAAGCAUUUUCGCAUGAUUAAAGGUUUACCGGUGUAAGAUGGGGAUGCGUUCCAUUAGAUAGUAGGCGGGGUAACGGCCCACCUAGUCUUCGAUGGAUAGGGGUUCUGAGAGGAAGGUCCCCCACAUUGGAACUGAGACACGGUCCAAACUCCUACGGGAGGCAGCAGUGAGGAAUAUUGGUCAAUGGACGAGAGUCUGAACCAGCCAAGUAGCGUGAAGGAUGAAGGUUCUAUGGAUUGUAAACUUCUUUUAUACGGGAGUAAACGAAUCCACGCGUGGAUUUUUGCAUGUACCGUAUGAAUAAGGAUCGGCUAACUCCGUGCCAGCAGCCGCGGUAAUACGGAGGAUCCGAGCGUUAUCCGGAUUUAUUGGGUUUAAAGGGAGCGUAGAUGGGUUGUUAAGUCAGUUGUGAAAGUUUGCGGCUCAACCGUAAAAUUGCAAUUGAUACUGGCAGUCUUGAGUACAGUUGAGGUAGGCGGAAUUCGUGGUGUAGCGGUGAAAUGCUUAGAUAUCACGAAGAACUCCGAUUGCGAAGGCAGCUUACUAACCUGUAACUGACAUUGAUGCUCGAAAGUGUGGGUAUCAAACAGGAUUAGAUACCCUGGUAGUCCACACGGUAAACGAUGAAUACUCGCUGUAGGCGAUAUACAGUCUGCGGCCAAGCGAAAGCAUUAAGUAUUCCACCUGGGGAGUACGCCGGCAACGGUGAAACUCAAAGGAAUUGACGGGGGCCCGCACAAGCGGAGGAACAUGUGGUUUAAUUCGAUGAUACGCGAGGAACCUUACCCGGGCUUAAAUUGCAACCGAAUAUGGCGGAAACGCUAUAGCUAGCAAUAGCGGUUGUGAAGGUGCUGCAUGGUUGUCGUCAGCUCGUGCCGUGAGGUGUCGGCUUAAGUGCCAUAACGAGCGCAACCCUUGCCGAUAGUUACUAACAGGUUAUGCUGAGGACUCUGUCGGGACUGCCAUCGUAAGAUGUGAGGAAGGUGGGGAUGACGUCAAAUCAGCACGGCCCUUACGUCCGGGGCUACACACGUGUUACAAUGGGGGGUACAGAGGGCUGCUACCACGCAAGUGGAUGCCAAUCCCAAAAACCUCUCUCAGUUCGGAUUGAAGUCUGCAACCCGACUUCAUGAAGCUGGAUUCGCUAGUAAUCGCGCAUCAGCCACGGCGCGGUGAAUACGUUCCCGGGCCUUGUACACACCGCCCGUCAAGCCAUGGGAGCCGGGGGUACCUGAAGUGCGUAACCGCAAGGAGCGCCCUAGGGUAAAACUGGUGACUGGGGCUAA